UACGGGGGGAGCAAGCGUUGUUCGGAUUUACUGGGCGUAAAGGGCGCGUAGGCGGUCAGCACAAGUCAGUUGUGAAAUCUCCGGGCUUAACUCGGAAAGGUCAACUGAUACUGUGCGACUAGAGUGCAGAAGGGGCAACUGGAAUUCUCGGUGUAGCGGUGAAAUGCGUAGAUAUCAGGAGGAACACCGGUGGCGAAGGCGCCACUCUGGGCCGGUACUGACGCUGAGGAGCGAAAGCGUGGGUAGCAAACAGG
RNAcentral lists this ribosomal RNA (254 nucleotides) under uncultured bacterium. Its description in RNAcentral is "partial 16S ribosomal RNA". It matches the Rfam family "Bacterial small subunit ribosomal RNA", at positions 524 to 776 of the family's 1533-position model. The record is from RNAcentral.